This 471-nucleotide unclassified non-coding RNA is filed under the name Hevea brasiliensis (rubber tree). Lineage: Eukaryota; Viridiplantae; Streptophyta; Magnoliopsida; Malpighiales; Euphorbiaceae. The record is from RNAcentral.
AUUUACUAAUCUUACAUCUUACUAAUGCUAGAUUUAAAACUAUUCCAUUUGACUUUUUCAAGUUCUGUUAUUCCUCCUUGCCCGCAGUAGGAAAGAGUGUUCUAGUACGGAUACGGACUAGAAGUACUAUACUUUGAGAUCCUUCCGGCUCUCGCAUGUAAUAGUCAUAGUCCGCAGUGGUAUAUCCCUUUGAAACUGUAGCAAGCCCAAUCUCGUAUCAAGCUUUAUGUGGUAUAAUCCCUGUCUUUCUCCAACUAGUCCAUUAGUUGGUCUAUAAUCUCCUUCGUGCCGUCAGUAAGAUUGAAAUCCCUCACUCCGUUCAGAAUAAAGCAAUGUAAUUCAGGACCUUUCCAGUCAGAUAGUUCGUUUAAGCAAUAGUACUUCUAAGUAGUAGCUCGCCGUCUCUAUGCAGCGAGUGGAGUGCAAGGGCAUAAGUAAAGCACGGACUCGGAACGAGACAUGCUGCUCAAG